UGAGAGAAGACAACAGUAGCGGUGUGUUAAAGCUCCGGCCCUCCCUGCCUGUGUACUACUCGGAGGAGACAUGGGCAGAUCUCCCACAAGACAUCGGUGCCGUGUUCACCCUACAGCAAUCAUCGGCCGUGACCUACGUGAGGGACCAGGCACUACGACCGGUGGAGAUUGUAGCGAGUCUUCCAGACAGGCUAUUGAGUAAGACCGACAGCCAAUCAGAAGAUCUCAGCCUCGCUCACGUGACCGAGCUCAUCCCGGAGACAGUAGAGAGCACUGAGUCCGCUCCCGCCGUCAAAAAGACGUCCACGUCUCCUGCAAGAGUGACGUCCAGACGUACAGAUUCCAGACAGAGAGCACUAAACUUUUCAUGAUGAAGUUUUCUUUAGUAGCUAGUUCGUAACGGAACAUAUGAAAUAUUUCACUAGUUUUCAACUAACGACAGUCAGACGACUCGAGUCUUUACCACUGACAUCGAUCCUAUGUCCUUGUUUUGACACGUAUCUUUCUUUUCACACGUAACAGAAAAGAAGACGUACACACCAUGCAUGGCGGACUAUAACAAGAAUAAAUUACUAAUGACAAAAUUGCCCCUGGUUGUGUUCAUUGGAAGGGUGAGAAGUUCCGACCAAAGGACGACAUGUUAAAAGACUUGACAGAUUGUCUUCAGUCAUCCAUAUGAUCUAAACAAGAAGAUCGAUCCAUAAGCGUGAGGCCGUAAAUAAUCCACCUGAUUGUCAUGGAAGAAUAAAGAUAAGGGUUUGGGAACUCUGUUUACUAUACAGUAUUUCAAUAUCACUUAACGAAAGUGGAACAAAUACGACUGUUUCAAGUACUUUCAAUUUUUUGUUUUACUUUUUAAAAGUUGGCGUGUGAGACCCACGCAUUUGCAAGUUCGUAAGUUAAUGAUUAUAUCUGCCCACGCCUACUGUUCUUCUGAAUCAUGGAAGGUACAGCGUAGAGGCAAAUAUUGACAAUACGUUACGGACCGUAUAUGAUAUUGCCUGUUAACUGACCUUUAUAACAGUGUGAUGACUACAUAUUAUUAUGGUGAGUAGCACAGUUGGUUACAUGAGUUGGUCUGCUCAAUUGAAAUACACCAUAUCUCUGUCUACUAUACAGUAUAUUGACUCAAUUGAAAUACAUCAUAUCUCUGUCUACUAUA
Molecule: long non-coding RNA, 1162 nt
Organism: Branchiostoma floridae (Florida lancelet)
Lineage: Eukaryota; Metazoa; Chordata; Leptocardii; Amphioxiformes; Branchiostomatidae
Exons: 3
Source: RefSeq, a predicted model, not a curated record